AUUGAACGCUGGCGGCAGGCCUAACACAUGCAAGUCGAGCGGAUGAAGGGAGCUUGCUCCUGGAUUUAGCGGCGGACGGGUGAGUAAUGCCUAGGAAUCUGCCUGGUAGUGGGGGAUAACGUCCGGAAACGGGCGCUAAUACCGCAUACGUCCUGAGGGAGAAAGUGGGGGAUCUUCGGACCUCACGCUAUCAGAUGAGCCUAGGUCGGAUUAGCUAGUUGGUGGGGUAAAGGCCUACCAAGGCGACGAUCCGUAACUGGUCUGAGAGGAUGAUCAGUCACACUGGAACUGAGACACGGUCCAGACUCCUACGGGAGGCGGCAGUGGGGAAUAUUGGACAAUGGGCGAAAGCCUGAUCCAGCCAUGCCGCGUGUGUGAAGAAGGUCUUCGGAUUGUAAAGCACUUUAAGUUGGGAGGAAGGGCAGUAAGUUAAUACCUUGCUGUUUUGACGUUACCAACAGAAUAAGCACCGGCUAACUUCGUG
Molecule: ribosomal RNA, 484 nt
Filed under: uncultured bacterium
Lineage: Bacteria
Description: partial 16S ribosomal RNA
Rfam family: Bacterial small subunit ribosomal RNA
Source: RNAcentral